AAACGUUGGUCACUGACAAAGUCCAGUGAAAAUGUUUGUCAUUUCUCUGCCUCCACCUCAGGACAGCAAAACACUUCAACACAAUGAAUUAAGCCUCUGCACCACUAUGUUCUACACACAGUUGUUUAGGUGGGCUGCACCACUGUAUGUGCUGCUUCUCCACAUUACAAGGAACACAAAGUCAAAGAAAUCGUGGCCAAGUGACAGAAGAAUUGGUGAAAGGAUGCAGGGACAGAAGUCAGGGUGUGCUCACAGAGUUACAAGUCACUUCCCACCUGCUAACUGUCUCCAUACUGAGGAGCACGCUGGAUGCACAUGGGCAAGUGUCACUUACCCAUUAACUUCUGCCUUUGAUUUCAAAAGUAUCUUUCACAAGAUAUCUAUUAUUACCGUCCUGCUUAGAGCACAAAAGUUCAAUUGAACAGAACCAAACUCCUGGGGCAGAAUGUUUCAGUCCCAGGAUAACUGGGACUAAUUUUUGGUGGUGCCCAGUGCCAGGACAAGAGGCAACAGCUACAAACUGGAACACAAGAGGUUCCGUCUAACCACCAGGAAGCACUUCUUUACUGUACAGGUGACAGAGCAUUGGAAUAAGCUGCCCAGAGAGGUUGUGGAGUCUCCCUCCUUGCAGAUCUUCAAAAGCCAAAUGGACAUGGUCCUGCGCAACUUGUUCCGGGCGUCCCUGCUUGAGCAGGGGGAUUGGACCAAAUGACCUCCAAACCUUCUGUCCAAUCUCAACUGUUCUGUGAUUCUACCCCUUCC
Molecule: long non-coding RNA, 762 nt
Organism: Cygnus olor (mute swan)
Lineage: Eukaryota; Metazoa; Chordata; Aves; Anseriformes; Anatidae
Exons: 2
Source: RefSeq, a predicted model, not a curated record